GCUGGGGCAAACGUGGCACCGAGAUGCCCCCCCCGGCUCCGGGCGCAGGGCAAGCUUCGCGGGAACGUGGAGAAGCCGAGCACCCCCGAGCUGCUGCGCCUGCUCUUCUCCACCUUGUCCUUCGUGAGUGUCGUCCCAGCCUUCACCCUCAGCACCCACCGGGGGGGCCGAGCCCAGCACCCAAGGGUGGGGGCACGGCCCGAGGAAGCCGCUCACAGCCACAACCCCCCGAGCAGGUCCUGGACCACUGCCCGGACCCCGGCCUGGCGUCCUCCGUGGAGACCCCGCUGCUCAUCCAGGCGGCCAUGGACCUGCUGGAGGAGACCCUGCACCCGGAGGACUACAACACCUGGAAGAGCCUGGGCAUGGCCUGGACCAAGAUCAGGGCCGAGUACCCCAACGGCGACUCGGUGCCCACCUACAUCCCCGUCUUCUCCGACGGGUGGCUGCCACCGCUGCUGGCGCAGCCGGGGGUCCCCCCUGCCGCCGAGCGGGUAAGUCCCGGCCCCACGGCGGUCCUGGCGGGGCGGGGGGGGCAGCCGGGGGGGGAGCAUUGCUCCCUGCCUCGGUUUCCCCGGCUCGCUCUGAGCGCUGAUCCCCUUUGCUCCCCGCGCAGGUGCCUGCCGCGAGCCCCGGGGACAACCUUGUGUCCCCUCUCUCCACCCCGCCGCUCAUGCAGGCCCUGUACGAGUUUCAGGGCAGGAACACGCAGGAGCUGA
This 719-nucleotide long non-coding RNA is filed under the name Dromaius novaehollandiae (emu). RNAcentral describes it as "lncRNA (ENSDNVG00000010298.1)". Lineage: Eukaryota; Metazoa; Chordata; Aves; Casuariiformes; Dromaiidae. The record is from RNAcentral.